ACAAGCAUGUGCGUCAGUGUUCCUUGUUCCAUUAAAAGUCAUAAUCGCAGACGAGCACUCUAUCAUAAUAAGAGCAUGACAAUCCGACAUGCCACUCUCUCCCAGGUUAAACAGCAGCAGAUGGAGAUUGUCUCUGGCUUCGUUUGUGAGCAGAAUUAAUUAGCAGUCACAGCAGCUGACACAUCAGUUUUACACUGACCUGCAAUUAAGAAUAACACUUCUUUUUGGAGUGUGUGCAUAGGACGGCCGUUUCAUUGGCAACAGCCCGUGCUGCUUGAUUUGUAAUUAAAGUUUCUUUGGUCUCUGAGGCAUUAUGGGACUAAAGUGUACACCUCGGGAACCCGUGAAGCUCCCAGACAAAUUUUCAUAACUGAUACAUUUAUUCCACAUAAUAGCUUUGUUCUGAAAUCGAGUGAGCUGCCGUCUACAUAGGCAGCUGCCUUCAAAGGCGACAUCCAAACUGAUUGAAUGGCAAAAUGGGGAAAACAAAAGGUCUUGAGAAGCAUUUGUUUUAAAUCUGAACUUAUGUUAACUUGAGUGGCACAUCAUGUGUGAGCCGCCGCAAAAGACAAACAUGUCCAUAUUGCAUGUUUUUACACAGAAAAACAAUAAAGUAGGAAUGGAGAAACACAAUCUGUGUGAAACGGCCCUAACUUAUUUCCAAUUUAUUACAACAGAAUUUUAUGCUAAUGUUUUGCACUAAUAAGCGCUCAAGUACAUGAAAUACUUAUUUAUAUAUUUAGAACUACGUUAUGGAAUCCACUUUCUGCCAAGGAAUAAGGAAAUUUUAAAAAUGCAAGGAAAAACUCACAAUUCUGAGAAGAAAAGUUUGAAUUGUGAGAUAGAUUCAUAAUUGUGAGGAAGAAAAAGUCAAAAUUAUGAGAAUUCAAUUCUAUUUUUUAUUCUGUCAUCUCAUAUCUCACAGUUUUGAGUAACAAAAGUUUGGCGAAAAAAAGUUGUAAUUAGAUUUUAUUUAUUUUUUAUUCUUUGUCGGAAAUGGGCUUCCAUACUAUUUGUAUCAAUACUUUUUUAUAAGAUAGAAUAUACGUAUAUUUAGGCUUUAAUCAGCAUUUCUAUACUCUAUAAUAAAUGUAUUUUUACACCAAGCUUGUUGUGACUCAUUCUAGGAAUGUUUUGUCUAUUCGUGCAAUUUCGCCUUCUAUUCAAAAGCUUGAAUUUUCAAGUGCAACAGAAUGGCACAUUCACAAAUAAAUUAUUUUUUAAUAAAAAUGCAUCUAUAAAUGAAGUUACAUGAAGAUAAAACCUGAUUGCAUAGCAUUUUUUUAUCCUCAAUUUGGGGAAAUUUUGUUGAAAAGCAUCUGCAAACUUAACAUUAGCAUUAUGAUCUUGUGCCCUUUUUUACAUCAUCUUCCAAGCAUCAGGCAACAGAAUCCCAAAAUGAGGCAUCUUAAAAGCAUCGCAAAAUGCUGUCUAGGUAGGCAGCUCACUAGGUUUUGGAGCACAGGCUAACAUGACAGCUUCAUAAAGGACUAAGCUUGACUGAAAUGCUUUUUUGUGCCUUUUGUCACCCAACCCCCAGAAUGCAUUGGGGCAAGGGAGUGAGGCGAUAAGUGCGAGGCAAAGAUGCAUUUGCUCCGCAGCACUGGCCACGGUGCAGAUGUUGCAGGUUAUUUCCGUGAAGUUUCAUCAUGAUGCUGGGACACUGAACUCUGAAUUGUUCAUGCCGUUGAUUUCAAACCGUUAUUUGGCUAUCCUUGGAUCCUCAAACAGCCCAGCAAGAGCUCAUGCCUCCCUCCUAAAGACUUUAAGGCUUCCAGCUGUCAUUACUUUCUCUAAAACCAAGCAAUGGACCAUUGUGAGCCAAGCCAGCACUAACCGGUAUUUUCGGACAGGGGAAGCUCUGAGUAGCCACCGAACGAGGGUUAAUCCCAUGAAAGUCACUGCCGAGUAAGAACAAGGUGGGCGGAGCUACUGAGGAGUUUAUUGAUCCAUUCGGGGGUUUCUGAGUGACUUAGAACAAGGGGUCUCACACUCUGGACUGCAAAAAUCAAGGAUGGAUAAAGACCAUGGAGAGGAUGCUGCCCUGGUGGGACAGGAAGUAGAGACGCAGAGGGGAGCAACUUCACCUGCUGAUCACCUUCAGUCUGACCAGUGGAACUAGCCUCUGAUUGGACAUGUCUGAUAGCCCAUCCAAUUGAUGGGAAUGGGAGAGAGAGAAAGGAAGAGGAACCUGAUGACAGUUCCCUGCAGAGAUGAAACUCUUCAGAAGCGCUCAGAGAGAAGAUGACACUUCAUACCACAUCAUUUGAUAGGAUUCAGAGAGGGUUAUGGAUCCUGUCACAAAGCCAAAUGAAGUCGAGGGGAAAACCGAGUCCCUGGGCUCUUCUCUGCUCCAACACCAGCCUAAAAAGGCCCCAUCUCACAUCUCCUCUUGAACUUCGACUCUGCAAUUAUACAAAAAUCUGGAAUCUACACUGCAGGAUAUUUUAAUAAUCUGAAGGACAUAUUUCCAUUAUAAAGAACCUU
This is a long non-coding RNA of Onychostoma macrolepis, 2487 nucleotides long. RefSeq lists it as uncharacterized. Lineage: Eukaryota; Metazoa; Chordata; Actinopteri; Cypriniformes; Cyprinidae. The transcript has 5 exons. The record is from RefSeq and is a predicted model, not a curated record.